CCCUUAGAUGUUCUGGGCCGCACGCGCGCUACACUGACGAUGGCAGCGAGUUUUUCCUUCGCCGAAAGGUGUGGGUAAUCUUUUGAAACAUCGUCGUGCUGGGGAUAGAUCAUUGCAAUUUUUGAUCUUGAACGAGGAAUUCCUAGUAAGCGCGAGUCAUCAGCUCGCGUUGAUUACGUCCCUGCCCUUUGUACACACCGCCCGUCGCUACUACCGAUUGAAUGGUUUAGUGAGGACUCCUGAUUGGCGCCGCCGCCCCGGCAACGGAGCAGCGGACUGCCGAAAAGUUGUUCAAACUUGAUCAUUUAGAGGAAGUAAAAGUCGUAACA
Molecule: ribosomal RNA, 329 nt
Filed under: uncultured eukaryote
Lineage: Eukaryota
Description: partial 18S ribosomal RNA
Rfam family: Eukaryotic small subunit ribosomal RNA
Source: RNAcentral